This 435-nucleotide ribosomal RNA is filed under the name uncultured bacterium. Its description in RNAcentral is "partial 16S ribosomal RNA". It matches the Rfam family "Bacterial small subunit ribosomal RNA", at positions 29 to 507 of the family's 1533-position model. The record is from RNAcentral.
AGCGAACGCUGGCGGCAGGCUUAACACAUGCAAGUCGAGCGGGCAUCUUCGGAUGUCAGCGGCAGACGGGUGAGUAACACGUGGGAACGUACCCUUCGGUUCGGAACAACUCUGGGAAACUGGAGCUAAUACCGGAUACGCCCUUAUGGGGGAAGGUUUACUGCCGAAGGAUCGGCCCGCGUCUGAUUAGCUAGUUGGUGGGGUAACGGCCUACCAAGGCGACGAUCAGUAGCUGGUCUGAGAGGAUGAUCAGCCACGCUGGGACUGAGACACGGCCCCGACUCCUACGGGAGGCAGCAGUAGGGAAUAUUGGACAAUGGGCGCAAGCCUGAUCCAGCCAUGCCGCGUGAGUGAGGAAGGCCUUAGGGUUGUAAAGCUCUUUUGUCCGGGACGAUAAUGACGGUACCGGAAGAAUAAGCCCCGGCUAACUUCGUG